This is a non-coding RNA of Paragonimus skrjabini miyazakii, 80 nucleotides long. The record is from the annotation of a GenBank genome assembly. Lineage: Eukaryota; Metazoa; Platyhelminthes; Trematoda; Plagiorchiida; Troglotrematidae.
GGCUUCGUAGAUCAGCUGGUAGAGCAAUGCCGCGUCUAGACAUGUUGUUCCUGUCGCUGGUUCGAAUCCAGCCGAAGUCA